AGUGAACGCUGGCGGUAGGCCUAACACAUGCAAGUCGAACGGCAGCACAGUGAGUGGUUGCGCUUAGGGGUGUCGAGUGUCGGACGGUUGAGGAAGACAUCGGAAUCUACUUUGUAGGGGGUGAUAACGGAGGGAAACUUACGCUAAUACCGCAUAUGUCCUACGUGGGAGAGCAGGGGUUGUUCGGACCUUGCGGGAUGGAAUAAGCCUAUGUCGGAUUAGCUUGUUGGGGGGGUAAAGGCGCACCAAGGCCACGAUCCGUAGCUGGUAUGAGCGGAAGAUGCGCCACACUGGCACUGAGAAACGGCACAGACUCCUACGGGAGGCAGCAGCGGGGAAUAUUGGACAAUGGGGGAAAGCCUGAUCCAGCCAUACCGCGUGGGUGAAGAAGGCCUUCGGGUUGUAAAGCCAUUUUGUUCGGAAAGAAAAGAAGCAGGUUAAUACCCGGCUGUUAUGACGGUACCCAAAGAAUAAGCACCGGCUAACUUCGUG
Molecule: ribosomal RNA, 492 nt
Filed under: uncultured bacterium
Lineage: Bacteria
Description: partial 16S ribosomal RNA
Rfam family: Bacterial small subunit ribosomal RNA
Source: RNAcentral